AUACGGAGGAUCCGAGCGUUAUCCGGAUUUAUUGGGUUUAAAGGGAGCGUAGAUGGAUGUUUAAGUCAGUUGUGAAAGUUUGCGGCUCAACCGUAAAAUUGCAGUUGAUACUGGAUAUCUUGAGUGCAGUUGAGGCAGGCGGAAUUCGUGGUGUAGCGGUGAAAUGCUUAGAUAUCACGAAGAACUCCGAUUGCGAAGGCAGCCUGCUAAGCUGCAACUGACAUUGAGGCUCGAAAGUGUGGGUAUCAAACAGGAUUAGGUACCCUGGUAGUCCACACGGUAAACGAUGAAUACUCGCUGUUUGCGAUAGACGGCAAGCGGCCAAGCGAAAGCGUUAAGUAUUCCACCUGGGGAGUACGCCGGCAACGGUGAAACUCAAAUGAAUUGACGGGG
This 393-nucleotide ribosomal RNA is filed under the name uncultured bacterium. RNAcentral describes it as "partial 16S ribosomal RNA". It matches the Rfam family "Bacterial small subunit ribosomal RNA", at positions 523 to 918 of the family's 1533-position model. The record is from RNAcentral.